RNAcentral lists this unclassified non-coding RNA (270 nucleotides) under uncultured fungus. Its description in RNAcentral is "sequence contains 5.8S rRNA gene". The stretch from base 1 to 53 matches the Rfam family "5.8S ribosomal RNA", at positions 102 to 154 of the family's 154-position model. The record is from RNAcentral. Lineage: Eukaryota; Fungi.
GAACGCAUCUUGCGCCCUUUGGUAUUCCGAGGGGCAUGCCUGUUUGAGUGUCGCAUUAAUCUCAACCCUUGACCGUUCAUCGGCUUGGGCUUGGACCGUGGCCGAACCUGGCCGGCGUCGUAGCGUCUGGCCCGGCCGAAAUGAAUGCAGAGCGAAUGCGCGAUUGCGACGACCGAGCGUUGUAGAACCUCGCGAGGCCGAUGCUGAUGCGCUGCUCUCCAGUUCUAUUCUUCGACCUCAAAUCAGGUAGGACUACCCGCUGAACUUAAG